UACGAAGGGGGCUAGCGUUGUUCGGAAUCACUGGGCGUAAAGGGCGCGUAGGCGGCGCGACAAGUCAGGCGUGAAAGCCCCGGGCUCAACCCGGGAAUUGCGCUUGAUACUGUCGUGCUUGAGGCCGGGAGAGGAUGGCGGAAUUCCCAGUGUAGAGGUGAAAUUCGUAGAUAUUGGGAAGAACACCGGUGGCGAAGGCGGCCAUCUGGACCGGUUCUGACGCUGAGGCGCGAAAGCGUGGGGAGCAAACGGG
This 253-nucleotide ribosomal RNA is filed under the name uncultured bacterium. Its description in RNAcentral is "partial 16S ribosomal RNA". It matches the Rfam family "Bacterial small subunit ribosomal RNA", at positions 524 to 776 of the family's 1533-position model. The record is from RNAcentral.